This 508-nucleotide ribosomal RNA is filed under the name uncultured Gammaproteobacteria bacterium. Its description in RNAcentral is "partial 16S ribosomal RNA". The record is from RNAcentral. Lineage: Bacteria; Pseudomonadati; Pseudomonadota; Gammaproteobacteria.
UGGGAGCUCUCCCAUAUGGUCGACCUGCAGGCGGCCGCGAAUUCACUAGUGAUUCAACCAUAAGGCCUUCUUCACACACGCGGCAUGGCUGGAUCAGGGUUCCCCCCAUUGUCCAAUAUUCCCCACUGCUGCCUCCCGUAGGAGUCUGGGCCGUGUCUCAGUCCCAGUGUGGCGGAUCAUCCUCUCAGACCCGCUACAGAUCGUCGCCUUGGUAGGCCAUUACCCCACCAACUAGCUAAUCCGACUUAGGCUCAUCUAUUAGCGCAAGGUCCGAAGAUCCCCUGCUUUCUCCCGUAGGACGUAUGCGGUAUUAGCGUCCGUUUCCGAACGUUAUCCCCCACUACCAGGCAGAUUCCUAGGCAUUACUCACCCGUCCGCCGCUCUCAAGAGAAGCAAGCUUCUCUCUACCGCUCGACUUGCAUGUGUUAGGCCUGCCGCCAGCGUUCAAUCUGAGCCAUGAUCAAACUCUAAUCGAAUUCCCGCGGCCGCCAUGGCGGCCGGGAGCAUG